This is a long non-coding RNA of Acanthopagrus latus (yellowfin seabream), 1321 nucleotides long. RefSeq lists it as uncharacterized. Lineage: Eukaryota; Metazoa; Chordata; Actinopteri; Spariformes; Sparidae. The transcript has 5 exons. The record is from RefSeq and is a predicted model, not a curated record.
GUGAACAGCUCUGACCUGUAUGGUGAUCAGACCUGGAGAGGAGGGACACCUGGUCCAACAAGGUGAUGGACGGUUGAAAGGACGAAUCACCAAGACGAACAAGACGAGCCGAACGGUGGAGACGAGCCACCACAGGAGCCUUCGUUUCUCCAGGACGAGAGCAGCCAGAAGCUCAAAGUGUGGGCAGAGGAACAGGCUGCUGAGGACGAGCUGGACCACAGUUUCCUGAACUGAAUCCUGAUUUCCUGUGAACAGCUCUGACCUGUAUGGUGAUCAGACCUGGAGAGAAGAGCCACCUGGUCCAACAAGGUGACGGACGAGCCUCCUCAGGACCUGAAGCAGGAAACUGAGGAUCCGUCUCCUGAUGAAACUCCUUCAGGUGCUGCAGGCAGUCCAGAACCGGGCCUGCAUCUGACUGGUUUGUGCUGCUCGUGGCUCAGAUCAGGUGCAGCAGCAGCCGUUCUGCUGCACCUGCCACUUGACUGGUGAACAGCAGGAACAUCACAGGAGGAGGAAGCAGCUGGAAGUGUGACCGCAGUUUGUGCUGCUGUAUGGAACAAUAAAGCUUUAAUGAAGCCACCCGCGCCGCCGGUUCCUCUGAGCGACCCAUUACCCAGAAAGCCAUGCUGGAUCAAGGUAAAGAGUCUGUUUACUCACACGGGGCUCUAUCUCUGUGGCUCGUCGGCUCGUUUCUGCUCUCACAGAUUCAAAUCCUGCUUUCACUUUGUUGCCAAAGUGUUUUUUUGUGUUACUGCUUUUGGCAAAAGACAAAAGAUCCACAAGGUCUAAAUCAGAAAUAUCAAGGUGCCGAUCAGAAUACAAAGAUAUUAAAGAAAAGCAUCAUGUUAGAGAACUUAAACGCUAGAAAUUUAAAUCAUUUCUUCACUAAACAGUGACUCAAAUGAUUCAACAAAUAUAAAAAUAGCGGCUGAUCGAUUUAUUCAUUGAUUAAUCGACCAUAACGAUGCAGCGUGGACCGACAGUUUUGGGUUUCUUGGCUUCUUGGUUUCUCGGCUGAACCGUCAUCACCGGACGCAGCUGAAACACUCAUGAGUUCAUGAAUAUAUGAUAACGGUCACACUUUACUUUAACGCCCUCAUUUAGCACUUAUAGGCGACAUAUUCAUAUUUAAUAAAGAGUUUACAGCGCGCUCGUAUACGGUGGAGAUUUAAGUGAUUAUUAAUGAAGCUGUCAACAUGUGAGUGGAGGCCGGAGUACAAACAGAGGAAAGAAAACGAUAAUAAUGUUAAAUUAUGUUUAUAUGCUGCUUUUAGAUAACAAAGAUAUUCACAUUUUAAAGAUUGUGUUAAAAAAAACUGUA